GAUGAACGCUGGCGGCGUGCCUAAUACAUGCAAGUCGAGCGAACGGACGAGAAGCUUGCUUCUCUGAUGUUAGCGGCGGACGGGUGAGUAACACGUGGAUAACCUACCUAUAAGACUGGGAUAACUUCGGGAAACCGGAGCUAAUACCGGAUAAUAUUUUGAACCGCAUGGUUCAAAAGUGAAAGACGGUCCUGCUGUCACUUAUAGAUGGAUCCGCGCUGCAUUAGCUAGUUGGUAAGGUAACGGCUUACCAAGGCAACGAUGCAUAGCCGACCUGAGAGGGUGAUCGGCCACACUGGAACUGAGACACGGUCCAGACUCCUACGGGAGGCAGCAGUAGGGAAUCUUCCGCAAUGGGCGAAAGCCUGACGGAGCAACGCCGCGUGAGGGAUGAAGGUCUUCGGAUCGUAAAACUCUGUUAUUAGGGAAGAACAGAUGUGUAAGUAACUGUGCACAUCAUGACGGUACCUAAACAGAAAGCCACGGCUAACUACGUG
Molecule: ribosomal RNA, 497 nt
Filed under: uncultured bacterium
Lineage: Bacteria
Description: partial 16S ribosomal RNA
Rfam family: Bacterial small subunit ribosomal RNA
Source: RNAcentral